This 465-nucleotide ribosomal RNA is filed under the name uncultured Klebsiella sp. RNAcentral's name for it is "bacterial SSU rRNA". It matches the Rfam family "Bacterial small subunit ribosomal RNA", at positions 338 to 795 of the family's 1533-position model. The record is from RNAcentral. Lineage: Bacteria; Pseudomonadati; Pseudomonadota; Gammaproteobacteria; Enterobacterales; Enterobacteriaceae.
CCUACGGGCGGCAGCAGUGGGGAAUAUUGCACAGUGGGCGCAAGCCUGAUGCAGCCAUGCCGCGUGUGUGAAGAAGGCCUUCGGGUUGUAAAGCACUUUCAGCGGGGAGGAAGGCGGUGAGGUUAAUAACCUCAUCGAUUGACGUUACCCGCAGAAGAAGCACCGGCUAACUCCGUGCCAGCAGCCGCGGUAAUACGGAGGGUGCAAGCGUUAAUCGGAAUUACUGGGCGUAAAGCGCACGCAGGCGGUCUGUCAAGUCGGACGUGAAAUCCCCGGGCUCAACCUGGGAACUGCAUUCGAAACUGGCAGGCUAGAGUCUUGUAGAGGGGGGUAGAAUUCCAGGUGUAGCGGUGAAAUGCGUAGAGAUCUGGAGGAAUACCGGUGGCGAAGGCGGCCCCCUGGACAAAGACUGACGCUCAGGUGCGAAAGCGUGGGGAGCAAACAGGAUUAGAUACCCCGGUAGUC